GUGGGGAAUCUUCCGCAAUGGACGAAAGUCUGACGGAGCGACGCCGCGUGAGUGAAGAAGGCCUUCGGGUCGUAAAGCUCUGUCAUCAGGGACGAACGGCCGGUGGAGUGGAAAGCCACCGGAUUGACGGUACCUGAGAAGGAAGCCACGGCUAACUACGUGCCAGCAGCCGCGGUAAUACGUAGGUGGCAAGCGUUGUCCGGAAUUAUUGGGCGUAAAGCGCGCGCAGGUGGGAUCUUAAGUCCAUUUUUAAAGUUCGGAGCUCAACUCCGUGAUGGGAUGGAAACUGGGAUUCUUGAGUACCGGAGAGGAAAGCGGAAUUCCCCGUGUAGCGGUGAAAUGCGUAGAUAUGGGGAGGAACACCAGUGGCGAAGGCGGCUUUCUGGACGGUGUCUGACACUGAGGCGCGAAAGUGUGGGGAGCAAACAGGAUUAGAAACCCUAGUAGUCC
Molecule: ribosomal RNA, 450 nt
Filed under: uncultured bacterium
Lineage: Bacteria
Description: partial 16S ribosomal RNA
Rfam family: Bacterial small subunit ribosomal RNA
Source: RNAcentral